This 3735-nucleotide long non-coding RNA is filed under the name Homo sapiens (human). RNAcentral describes it as "non-protein coding lnc-PUS7-1:2". Lineage: Eukaryota; Metazoa; Chordata; Mammalia; Primates; Hominidae. The record is from RNAcentral.
ACCCUCCCCUAUGGAGCUCCAGAGAAGGGAUUCGCUCACUCCACCGCGGGAGGAGGAAAGGGAGCUACCUAGCAGCAAGGGUUGUGUAGAGGACCUGUGGACUUGACAGCCUCUUAAACAAACUAACACGGAAGGAGUACCAUAGAGACCAUAACAAACAAGGGGGGGGGAAAGCAACCCUCAGAGGAAAAAGAAACCACACGGUGAGAAGAAAAAUCAAAUACAUGUGCACAGAGAUAUAUAAUCGAGCUACAAAUUACUAUUGCAAGCAUAAAACAAGGAUGGCUGGGCGCUGUGGCUCACGCCUGUAAUCCCAGCACUUUGGGAGGCCGAGGCAGGCAGAUUACGAGGUCAGGAGAUCGAGACCAUCCUGGCUAACAUGGUGAAACCCCGUCUCUACUAAAAAUACAAAAAAUUAGCCAGGCGUGGUGGUGGGCGCCUGUAGUCCCAGCUACUCAGGAGGCUGAGGCAGGAGAAUGGCGUGAACCCGGGAGGUGGAGCGUGCAGUGAGCAGAGACCGCACCACUGCACUCUAGCCUGGACGACAGAGCAAGACUCCGUCUCAUUUAAAAAAAAAAAAAAAAACAAGGAUACUAUUUUUUAAAUUACCUAUUAUGGGAACAUAAUCGUAUAUAUUUAUAGUGUACAUGUGUGUUUGUUUUUUUUUUGCUCAGGCUGGGGUGCAAUGGCGUUAUCUCUGCUCGCAGCAACCUCCGCCUCCCAGGUUCAAGCGAUUCGCCUGCCUCAGCCUCCCAAGUAGCUGGGAUUACAGGCAUGCACCACCACGCCCGUCUAAUUUUGUAUUUUUAGUAGAGACGAUGUUUCUCCAUGUUAGUCAGGCUGGUCUCGAACUCCCGGCCUCGGGUGAACUGCCCGCCUUGGCGUACCAAAGUGCUGGGAUUACAGGUGUGAGCCACUGCGCCCGGCCUUUUUUUCUGGGGCGGGGCGGGGGACGGGUAAAGAAAUUUUAAUGAGGAUUCAAGGUUUGUAGGGAAGACACAGAGGACCGGCGCUCAGCCCCAGCCUCCUCACGUGUACAUGGCUCCAUGGAGGUUCUCCAGUCGGUUCUGCUGCUGCUGCUGUUUUCGAGCCUUAUCUCGUCUGUGUUCCUCAUAAGUGUAGUCAUCAGUGGGCAGCUCAUGGCGGCACAAGGGACAGGAAUUUGUCUUGCUUAGCCAGGGCAGAAUGCAACUGGAAUGAAAAAGGUGUUGGGAAGCAUCUCAAUGGCAGUCUCCUCCUCAGAUUCCAAAAGAUACACGGGGCACUUGAGCUCAGCCUUGAGAGCCUCUGAUGACUGUCCUGGAGAGGUUCUCAACCACAAUCUUGGCAGCCGGUGGAGGCAGGUGGUGGUCCCAAUCUACUACCAACCCCAAGUCUUCAAAGUCCAUCCUAUUCAAAAGUGACCUUACGAGCUCCAGCACCAUGUUGGUUCGAGUCUCCUGCUUGAGGGUCCAACGGCUCACAGUCGUGUUCAUCGAUAUAGGACGCCAUGGCUGCCCAGCCGUCUGACAUGUGAUGUUUUGAUACAGGUAUACAAUGUGUAACUAUCAAAUCCGAGUAACUGGGGUAUUGAUCAUCUUGAGAAUUUAUCAUUUCUUUGUGUUAGGAACAGUCCAAUUCCACUCUUUUAGUUAUUUUAAAAUAUGCAAUAAAUUAUUAACUGUAGUCACUCUGUUUUAUUGUUGUUGUUGUCGUCAUUUGUUUUGGUUUUGGUUUUUUUGUUUGUUUUUUGAGACAAGUUCUCCCUCUGUUGCCCAGGCAGGAGUGCAGUGGUGCAGCCAUAACCCACUGUAACCUCAAACUCCUGGGCUCAAGGGAUCCACCCACCUCAGCCUCCUGAGUAGCUAGGACUAUAGACUGGCACCACCAUUCCUGGCUAACUUUUUUUUGUUGAGACAGUGACUCGCUAUGUUGCCCAGGCUGGGCUCUACUCCUGAGCUCAAGCGAUUCUCCUGUCUUGACCUCCCAAAGUGCUAGGAUUACAGCCAUGAGCCACUGCACCUGGCCCCUAACUGUAUUUUUGGACCCAUUAACCAUCCCCAAUUUAUGCCUUCCUCCCUGCUACCCUUUCAGCCUUUGGUAACAAUCAUUCUACUCUCUAUCUCCUUGAAUUCAAUUUGUUUAAUGUUAAGCUCCCACAUAUGAGAGAAAAGGAUACUAUUUAAAAGGAGCAUUGGCUGGGCACGGUGGCUCCUGCCUGUAAUCUCAGCACUUUGGGAGGCUGAGGCAGAACAAAUUGCCUGAGGUCAGGAGUUCAAGACCAGCCUGGCCAACAUGGUGAAAGCCUGUCUCUACUAAAAGUACAAAAAUUAGCCAGGCCUGGUGGUGGGAGCCUGUAAUCCCAGCUACCCAGGAGGCUGAGGCAGGAGAAUCUCUUGAACCCAGCAGGCAGAGGUUGCAGCGAGCCGAGAUUACACCACUGCACUCCAGCUGGGCAACAAAGCAAAACUCUGUCUCAAACAUAAAUAAUUAAAUAGAUAAAUAAAUGAAUAAUAAAAGGAGCACUCACUUGUAAAUGGGGAGGGUAAAAAUAAAUAAAAUAAGAAAAGCAUUCAGAGAUGAAAAAAUAUGACAGCAGAAAUUAAAAUUUCAAGAGUGGAAAGAUAGGCCAAGUGCAGUGGCUCACGCCUGUAAUCCCAACACUUUGGGAGGCCAAGGCACGUGGAUCGCUUGAGGCCAGGAGUUCGAGACCAGCCUGGCCAACAUGGUGAAACCUGGUCUCUACUAAAAAUACAAAAUAUUAGCUGGCCAUUGUGGCACGUGCACCUAUAGUCCCUGCUGCUUAGUAGGCUGAGGAACAAGAAUUGCUUGAACCCAGGAGGCUUUUAAUUUCUGCUGUCAUAUUUUUUGUUCUCUGAAUGCUCUUUUUAUUUUAUUUAUUUAUUUUUAUCCUCCCCAUUUUCACAAGUGAGUGCCCCUUUUAUUAUUUAUUAUUUGUUUGUUUGUUUCUUUGAGACAGAGUUUCGUUCUGUUGCCCAGGCUGGAGUGCAGUGGCACGAUCUUGGCUCACUGCAACCUCCGCCUCUGGGGUUCAAGUGAUUCUUCUGCCUCAGCCUCCCUAGUAGCCAGGAUUACAGGUGCCCGCCAUCAUGCCCGCCUAAUUUUUGUAUUUUUAGUAGAGAUGGGGUUUCAUCACAUUGGCCAGGCUGGUCUUGAACUCCUGACCUCAGGUGAUCUGCCCACCUCAGCCUCCCAAAGUGCUGGGAUUAUAGGCAUGAGCCACUGUGCCUGGCCUUUUCUUUGUUUUGUUUUGUUUUUUGCUUUUUUUUCCUAGAACAUUUAUCAACAUUUAUCUUCCCACACUUUGUUUGUUUGUUUUUAUUUUGAGACGGGGUCUCACUCUGUCACCCAGGCCGGAGUUUAUUGGCAAGAUCUUAGCUCACUGCAACCUCUGCCUCCCAGGUUCAAGUGAUUCUCCUGUCUCAGCCUCCCAAGUAGCUGGGACUACAGGUGUGCACCACCACACCUGGCUAAUUUUUGUAUUUUUAGUAGAGAUGGGGUUUCACCAUGUUGGCCAGUCUAGUCUCAAACUCCUGACCUCAAGUGAUCUGCCCGCCUCAGCCUCCCAAAUUGCUGGAUUACAGUUGUGAGCCACCACGCCUGGCCAAAAACUGGAAUUCUGUACUUAAUUAGUGAACUAUGAAUCAAAUGUGAGGUUAGAAUAAAAAUGUGGGGUUUUUUUUAACACUCUUGUAGUCAAGAAUAAAAAUAGACAUUAAAGAUCUCAAAAAAUUU